RNAcentral lists this ribosomal RNA (260 nucleotides) under Escherichia coli. RNAcentral describes it as "partial 16S ribosomal RNA". It matches the Rfam family "Bacterial small subunit ribosomal RNA", at positions 1 to 257 of the family's 1533-position model. Lineage: Bacteria; Pseudomonadati; Pseudomonadota; Gammaproteobacteria; Enterobacterales; Enterobacteriaceae. The record is from RNAcentral.
AAAUUGAAGAGUUUGAUCAUGGCUCAGAUUGAACGCUGGCGGCAGGCCUAACACAUGCAAGUCGAACGGUAACAGAAAGCAGCUUGCUGCUUUGCUGACGAGUGGCGGACGGGUGAGUAAUGUCUGGGAAACUGCCUGAUGGAGGGGGAUAACUACUGGAAACGGUAGCUAAUACCGCAUAAUGUCGCAAGACCAAAGAGGGGGACCUUCGGGCCUCUUGCCAUCGGAUGUGCCCAGAUGGGAUUAGCUUGUUGGUGGGG